UACGAAGGGGGCUAGCGUUGUUCGGAAUCACUGGGCGUAAAGGGUGCGUAGGCGGGUCUUUAAGUCAGGGGUGAAAUCCUGGAGCUCAACUCCAGAACUGCCUUUGAUACUGAAGAUCUCGAGUCCGGAAGAGGUGAGUGGAACUCCGAGUGUAGAGGUGAAAUUCGUAGAUAUUCGGAAGAACACCAGUGGCGAAGGCGGCUCACUGGUCCGGUACUGACGCUGAGGCGCGAAAGCGUGGGGAGCAAACAGG
Molecule: ribosomal RNA, 253 nt
Filed under: uncultured bacterium
Lineage: Bacteria
Description: partial 16S ribosomal RNA
Rfam family: Bacterial small subunit ribosomal RNA
Source: RNAcentral